CCUACGGGAGGCAGCAGUGAGGAAUAUUGGUCAAUGGACGAGAGUCUGAACCAGCCAAGUAGCGUGAAGGAUGACUGCCCUAUGGGUUGUAAACUUCUUUUAUAUGGGAAUAAAACGAUUCACGUGUGGGAUCUUGUAUGUACCAUAUGAAUAAGGAUCGGCUAAAUCCGUGCCAGCAGCCGCGGUAAUACGGAGGAGACGAGCGUUAUCCGGAUUUAUUGGGUUUAAAGGGAGCGUAGGUGGCUUGUUAAGGCAGUUGUGAAAGUUUGCGGCUCAACCGUAAAAUAGCAGUUGAAACUGGCAGUCUUGAGUGCGGUAGAGGUGGGCGGAAUUCGUGGUGUAGCGGUGAAAUGCUUAGAUAUCACGAAGAACUCCGAUUGCGAAGGCAGUUCACUGGACUGCAACUGACACUGAGGCUCGAAAGUGUGGGUAUCAAACAGGAGUAGAUACCCCGGUAGUC
RNAcentral lists this ribosomal RNA (460 nucleotides) under uncultured bacterium. RNAcentral's name for it is "partial 16S ribosomal RNA". It matches the Rfam family "Bacterial small subunit ribosomal RNA", at positions 338 to 795 of the family's 1533-position model. The record is from RNAcentral.